AUCCGAGGGUCCCGCCCCACCCGGGAGAGCGCAAACCCGACGCGGAGAAAGCUGGAGAGCCUCAAACCCCAGGCACAAGCCUUCAUUUCCUCCCAGCGCAUCAUUGGCGGGCCUGACGCUGCUGCAGCCACUCAGCUGUUUACUAUUUACGGUUUGAGCUGGGCGCCGGGACCAGUAAGUGCCGGAGGGUAAGGCCUGGGAGCAGAUUGUGGGAAGCCGUCUAUCAAAACUCAGCUUCUAAGUUGAGUGAGGAGAAAGUAAAGGUGAAGAAUCUGCCCGAUGGCAAAUGGUGACAAAUGUUUAAGGAUGAACAGAAAACAGUGUUAUCAGAGCCCCUCACCCCAGGACAGGGUCCACUGGGAAGACGUCACAAC
Prionailurus viverrinus (fishing cat) is the source of this 374-nucleotide long non-coding RNA. RefSeq lists it as uncharacterized. NCBI's taxonomy places the organism in Eukaryota, Metazoa, Chordata, Mammalia, Carnivora, Felidae. The record is from RefSeq and is a predicted model, not a curated record. The transcript has 3 exons.